RNAcentral lists this long non-coding RNA (4020 nucleotides) under Bemisia tabaci. Its description in RNAcentral is "lncRNA ENSSWEETPG008327". Lineage: Eukaryota; Metazoa; Arthropoda; Insecta; Hemiptera; Aleyrodidae. The record is from RNAcentral.
CGCAAAAAUUGAUUAUAUUUCCUUUUCUGCUUGUCACAUUUCAAUGUUUUUCUAGGUUUUUGAUGCUUAUGUCUGAUGGAUUAUACAAGUCUUUAGAGGGGCAUCUGGUUCCGGUCAAGUCAAUCAAGAGCUUGCCCUAUUGGCUGUUGAACAGUUCCAGAUCCAAUCAACAUUGACGGGUGUUGCCCAAGCGUAGUGGACAAAGUUGUUCGAAUCCAUCAUGAUACCUACAUGACAAAAGCAAGCAAAGGUGAUUUAUUGACCGGCGAAAGAGGGGAUGAUAUUACUCUCUCAUUCGGAAUUUCAACUACCCCAUGCCUCGUUCCUUGACCAGUGGUGGCCCCCAUGUUCGAUUUGAUCCUGUGCCAACAAUAACCAACUACCCCCGGGCUGACCCAGAAUCAGAUGGAGAAGUCACGCUUAGUACAAACAAUACAAGUGUCUCAACGCAAGAUACAACAACCUCCUCAACGACCGAAGAUGGAGAGUCAACACCAAGAUCAAAUAAUGCAGCAGCUGCUAAUCAACGAAUACCUGCGUAUGUUGAUUUCAGUGAUUAUAACCAAAAUGUUGGAAGGCUAAAUUGAUAAUACUUACCUGAAGGUAUUGAUUUUCUUUAAGGUUUAGCAUUGGAAGAGAUCUUUAAAGGAAUUAUUAAUAUAGAAAACUCCCUUAAACAUUUUCCCAACUAAAAAAGACCUGAAUCUAAAUUUGCUUGAUGGCCUAGGUUUCCAAUAAAAUAAUUUUAGACCGGUUUUUUGAGCCAUACCUAUUGGAGAUGAGAAAAUUUUGAAGGUAUAGUGGAAAGUGCAAAAUGAAUGAAUAAUCCAGACCGUAAAGUAACGAAAACACUAUUUAAAUAGAACAUAUGAACAACAUUUAUUUUGAAGCGCCAAGAUGACAGGGCAGCAUAUGUUUGUCAAAGCAAAGCGCUCAGAAUAGAGAGCAGCAUCCGUGUCGAAGAAUCCUCCAUACUAGGCCAUAUAAAUCUUUAUCUUUAUUAAAUUGCACCAAAAAAACACAAACAAGAUCACAAAUUGUAAUAAUAAGGAAAAACUCCCCCUUAGGUUAUCCCGUGUGUUGUGUGGAGCCUCUUUUCCUUUUUUUUAAAAAAAAAUAUGAAUUUCUUUCUUUCACCUUCUUUUUACACUUAUAAACACUGUAGUAAAGCUGCAAAACUUUCAUUUUACAGUUGCAGAGUUUACCGUAUCACAUAAGUGUCCAAAAUGAUAGUUUUCAAACUUGACCCAUUUUAAAAGAUGCAAUCUGAAGUUAUUCGACUCUGCACCCGGUUGAUAGUUCAGAUACCAGGUCAAGUCUUAACGUAAUUCAACCUCCCCCUGUUUCAUAAGUGGUUGAAAUCAUGAAUAUAAUUUUGAAGGUAAUUUUACAUCUGUCAUUUUCAAUGGAGCCCUCUUUUUAACAAACGGAAUAAAGUUAAAUUUGAAUGUGGCUGAAAAAAAAUACCGAGACACUAAGGUUCAGUGUGAUAUAAUUUAAGUUCAAGUACUUCUAACUUCUCAAUAGCGCUGUCAUUAUGAAAAGGCACAACUCCAAACUUUUUAAAAUCAAUUUCUUCCCUUAAUUACUGCCCUGCUACAGAAAAGUACAGCAUAUCAGGGAAGAAUAGAUAUUUACAUUUAUUGUUUUCUUCCAAAUGAUUGUGCCAUUUGGAGGAACAAAAAUUGAAAAAUUGAAGGUUGCCGAUUUUUCUCAAAUUUUAUGUUUUAAUAUAGAAAACUAAGCAACACUGAAACUUGAAAUUUGUGAGCGUAUUCUUCUAAUCUGUUAAUUUUCUACCAUAAUGCCUCCUUUCUUUUCUCCUAAAAAAUCGUUCUUACCUCUGCUCUUUUUAGCAUGUCUUAAUUUUAUUUAUUUGUGACUAGUUUUUAGAAAUAUACUUAUCCCUUUCCUCAAUAGGUCGCGUAGAAAUAAACCAUCUGCAGGGAUUUAUGUUUGCUUUUCGAUGGAAAAUAGGCCGCACUCUGCUGAUUCUUGUGUUAAGUUUUUUGAAAGUUCAACUUCUUUUUAGUUUUUUAAAAGAUUUUCUUUUGUUCGUCUUUGAUUGAUUUUUUUUUUAUCUAUCAUGAGGCUUUUAUAACAUUACUUUUUACUUGUGAUCCAAGCCUACCCUGAAACAACAUUUUUUUUUUCUCAAAUCCUUUUUUUACACCCACCCAAUUAAUAUAUUAUGUUACUAAAUAUCAUCGGUUUUCCAGCUGAAACUGUCAGAUUGAUUUAGUUCAAUUCAAAAUACUGUAUAUAAAUCACCAACGAGACUGGUAACAUCACUGUGGUGAAACGCAUGAUUUGAAACAAUUGUAUUUUUUUAAAUGAUUUUAUUAAUUAUUUUGAAUUUUUUCAUUAUUCUUAGUUUACAAUUCAUAAAUUGUGAACACAUAAGCAAAAAGCAAGAAAAUAACAAACUAAAUGUAUUAAUCGGUCAACGUAACCUACCUAACUAUUUUUCAAUAAAAGAAAAAAACACAAAGAAACGUAGCCGACUGCAUGUAACAAGGUGGUAAAACAGUGCUGACCCAUACUAUUUUGUUUGGAAAACAAGGCCGAUUCAAACAUUUGAGCCUUAAUGAGUACCUGAACAAAACUGAGGGGGAGGAGUGGUCAGCUUACACAGUUUGCAUUGGAAUAUUAAGCUGAGGUCAUGCGAAAGAUCUAUAACAUUUUGGGUCUUUUUAGAUCUCAUCAGUAGAUCACAUUUGUUAGUGAUUCCAAACUUAGCAUCCUGCAAAAUCCAAGACAGCAUGGAAAUGCCGUCAUGAAUAUGACGAGAGGCAUGACACAAAAGUGUGAUCCUUCGCAUCUACGUGAACACUCUUCCCCCUCAGUCUUGUGGUACUCAUCAGAGCUCAAAAUUGUCUACUCUAAUUGAAAUUUGUGAACUUUUUGGCCUUGUUUUCCUCGCUACACAGUUGUUAUUUUUCCAUAGUUACCACAUUUGUAACCGUCCAUUUGAAAAGAGAUUUUAGUAAACAGUGACUGCUGAUUUCAAUCUCAAGCUAUUUUCAGUGAGGGUUUUAAAAUGGACGCAUUUCUGCCGAAUGAACUAUGUGCAUUAUGGCGUGAGCCCUGUUAUGCAAAUAUUCUCAUGGGUCUCAGGGCUCAUGUCUUACUGCACAUAGUUCUGUUUGGCAGAAAUACGUCCAAAUUUGAAACAGUAAUCCGAAAAAGAGUAUUUUUCCAGUUUUACUGUUGAAUAAGUCCUUGCCUGCUCGUGGAAAAAUUUGAUUUCUAGUUCCAUAAAGAAAUUAACUGACAUUUGCUAAUAAUCUCUUGAGGAUAUAAUCUAUAUAAAAUCUUAGUCUCAACUAAUAAUUUCUCAUAUAUUCUGUGAUACGAAGAAUUAAGUGCUGAUUGUAAAUAUUCGUACUCGAGUUUUUUACUUGUUCUCUGUUUUUUAUUUUUACCACUUACAGGAAUGGUAGAGGAGAGGUCUCUGGUUAUUUGUUAUAUUUAGUGAAAAGGCAAUAAAAGUGUGAAAUAUUUUUUAAUUAACUGUUCGUUAUUUUUACCCUCUAAUAUGGCCUCCAAAUAGUCAAGGUUGGGUAUAAAAGGUCGAGGCAAUCAGCUAGUUUGAGAGCUAUGCUGCCGUGGCUAAGGAAAAACGCCGGAAAUGAACAUUAGAGAGUUGCCAAAUUUCCCUCGAUAAAACAUGUAUUUUUGACAACAUUCAUGCAUAUUUUUCCUUGCAAUUUUCAGAUAUUUUAGAAUGAAUUGCCAACAAAAUUGUCUGAAAAUUUUGAAAAUAAUAUUCACAAUUUUCCCAGUAAAUUCGGUUUUUAUUGGAGGAAACUUGGCAACGUCUGAAGGCUUAUACGACGUUUCUUCCUUAGCACGGCAGUAGUUUGACAGUAGAACUCGUUAAUCAUAACGAGGGAAGGAGCAGGAGAACUUUAGUUGGACUGCAUUUGCAAUUUGGAACUAUAAAUUCUGGCUCAUCUGAAAAAACACUUAUGUGCAUGGGGAAUCAAUGGCUUUUACGUUGUUAUUAAACGGGUCGGA